This 508-nucleotide ribosomal RNA is filed under the name uncultured bacterium. RNAcentral describes it as "partial 16S ribosomal RNA". It matches the Rfam family "Bacterial small subunit ribosomal RNA", at positions 28 to 507 of the family's 1533-position model. The record is from RNAcentral.
GACGAACGCUGGCGGCGUGCCUAAUACAUGCAAGUCGAACGCUUCUUUCCUCCCGAGUGCUUGCACUCAAUUGGAAAGAGGAGUGGCGGACGGGUGAGUAACACGUGGGUAACCUACCCAUCAGAGGGGGAUAACACUUGGAAACAGGUGCUAAUACCGCAUAACAGUUUAUGCCGCAUGGCAUAAGAGUGAAAGGCGCUUUCGGGUGUCGCUGAUGGAUGGACCCGCGGUGCAUUAGCUAGUUGGUGAGGUAACGGCUCACCAAGGCCACGAUGCAUAGCCGACCUGAGAGGAUGAUCGGCCACACUGGGACUGAGACACGGCCCAGACUCCUACGGGAGGCAGCAGUAGGGAAUCUUCGGCAAUGGACGAAAGUCUGACCGAGCAACGCCGCGUGAGUGAAGAAGGUUUUCGGAUCGUAAAACUCUGUUGUUAGAGAAGAACAAGGACGUUAGUAACUGAACGUCCCCUGACGGUAUCUAACCAGAAAGCCACGGCUAACUACGUG